This 1654-nucleotide long non-coding RNA is filed under the name Salvia miltiorrhiza (redroot sage). RNAcentral's name for it is "long non-coding RNA (SMIL_LNC007259)". Lineage: Eukaryota; Viridiplantae; Streptophyta; Magnoliopsida; Lamiales; Lamiaceae. The record is from RNAcentral.
AGCCGCCGGAUUUUAUUCGGAGGGCUGAGCUCCAAGUUUCACCAUUGACGUCUGCACUCUCCGGCCCGCUCAAGCUCGCCCUUCUCCAUUCUUCUCCAAUUUUUGAUCGAUUAUUCCACUCGCCCCGCUCAAGCUUCACUCCGGUGAGUUUCAUAAAUUCAUACCCUGUUUUUGUGAUUAGUGCCCUGUUAGUACCUUGAUUAGUGCCAUGAUUAGCUCCAAUUAUUGAUCGAUUAAUUAUGUUAAUGUCGAUGAAUGGUGGUGUUGCAAAUUGCUUCUAUUUUUUCUGGUCUAUUUCUUGUCCAAAUUGUCACGAAGAUGAGUAUGCUUGAGAGUUCUGUCCAAAUUUCAUAAAUNUUUUCUGCUGAUUCUGGAAUCUGCAAAUAGUAAUUAACAGAUUAAUUAAAACUUAUUAUUUUUGGUUAACAGCACUUUACACUUCUUUUCCUCAUUCUUUUGCUUGGAGAUUUGAGAGAGAGAGAGAGAGAGAAACUAGACUCUGCUGCAGUUAUCCCAACAACUUAUCAUUAUGAGUAUAUUACAUAUGGAUUAUGUUCUUAUUUUUCUUUCAAGGGGUUGAAACAGUCAAGGUUUUCAUUUAUUGAUACAAAUAUACUUUACUGAAUCCAUUAAUCAUUCAUUUUUGUCAAACAUCUUUCGAGUAGUAUAUGGUUAGACUUUACUGAAUAGAUCUAAGUCUCUUUUAUUUAGUGGAUUAUCAAGAAACAAUUUACACAUGUGAAAAUACUUUUGCAAUGUAUUGUUGGAUACAUUUAUUUGAUUAAAGAUAUUGAUUUGUAUUUAAAUUGAUAGACAAUUAAUCUAUACUUUCUUAAAUAGGUGUUGGUGUUUUGUUAAAUUGUGGGAGGAAUUUCAGAAAGUGUUUAUUCAUCCAUUUGGAAGAGAAUCGACAAGAAAGGGAUAAGCUUCAACGGUGAGUUCACUAUAUCUUGUUUUUAUGUUUUCACCAUGGUUCAAAUGGCAACCAUGGUUAGAUAAGCAUGUAUCUAGGUUAUUUUUGCACCAUGGUUAUGUAAACACUGUAGAUAAGCAUGUAUCUAGGUAGUUGAUAUGGAGAAUAGGUUGGGGAAUGGCUCGUUCCAUUCCAUUUGUUGCUGUGGUGAUGGCUUGGAGCCGAUUAUGUGCUAUGUGUGUUUAUGUGUUUGUGUAAGAAAUAGGCACAAGUAAUCAUAAAUAUUUGUGAAAUUUAUAGGUUAAGUAAAAUGACAUAUAUUUUUUUAAUGGAUAAAGGUUGGAUGUCCAAAAAUAGAUUAUCAAACGAGUACGAAGUAGGAGUGGAGUCUUUCUUGCAGUUUGCCGUUAAAAAUGGGAAAAAUCCCAAUGCUAUGCCUUGUCCUUGUGUCAAGUGUGGCAAUCUACGCGAGAAGGAUGUCAAAACCAUAAGAGCGCAUCUCACAUAUAAUGGCAUGGAUUUAACAUACGUUAGUUGGAUUUUUCAUGGGGAGAGAAGUAGACCUAACACAAGCAAUAAAGAAGAAGAAGAGAGCAGUGUGGGUCAUGAUUUUUAUUCGGAUGAGCCAGUAGACAUGGUGCAUGAUGCAUAUGUUGACAAUCCAACUCAUUUUCAUAGACUGCUCGAGGAAGCUGAAAUGCCAUUAUAUUUUGGAUGUGAUGGUUUCACGAAGUUAUCUGC